GACGAACGCUGGCGGCGUGCCUAAUACAUGCAAGUUGAGCGCUGAAGGUUGGUACUUGUACCAACUGGAUGAGCAGCGAACGGGUGAGUAACGCGUGGGGAAUCUGCCUUUGAGCGGGGGACAACAUUUGGAAACGAAUGCUAAUACCGCAUAAAAACUUUAAACACAAGUUUUAAGUUUGAAAGAUGCAAUUGCAUCACUCAAAGAUGAUCCCGCGUUGUAUUAGCUAGUUGGUGAGGUAAAGGCUCACCAAGGCGAUGAUACAUAGCCAACCUGAGAGGGUGAUCGGCCACAUUGGGACUGAGACACGGCCCAAACUCCUACGGGAGGCAGCAGUAGGGAAUCUUCGGCAAUGGACGAAAGUCUGACCGAGCAACGCCGCGUGAGUGAAGAAGGUUUUCGGAUCGUAAAACUCUGUUGGUAGAGAAGAACGUUGGUGAGAGUGGAAAGCUCAUCAAGUGACGGUAACUACCCAGAAAGGGACGGCUAACUACGUG
This 497-nucleotide ribosomal RNA is filed under the name uncultured bacterium. Its description in RNAcentral is "partial 16S ribosomal RNA". It matches the Rfam family "Bacterial small subunit ribosomal RNA", at positions 28 to 507 of the family's 1533-position model. The record is from RNAcentral.